RNAcentral lists this ribosomal RNA (482 nucleotides) under uncultured bacterium. RNAcentral describes it as "partial 16S ribosomal RNA". It matches the Rfam family "Bacterial small subunit ribosomal RNA", at positions 28 to 507 of the family's 1533-position model. The record is from RNAcentral.
GACGAACGCUGGCGGCGUGCUUAACACAUGCAAGUCGAACGCUGAAGCUCAGCUUGCUGGGUGGAUGAGUGGCGAACGGGUGAGUAACACGUGAGUAACCUGCCCUCUUCUUUGGGAUAACGCCCGGAAACGGGUGCUAAUACUGGAUAUUCACUGAUUCUCGCAUGGGGGUUGGUGGAAAGGUUUUUUCUGGUGGGGGAUGGGCUCGCGGCCUAUCAGCUUGUUGGUGGGGUGAUGGCCUACCAAGGCUUUGACGGGUAGCCGGCCUGAGAGGGUGACCGGUCACUUUGGGACUGAGAUACGGCCCAGACUCCUACGGGAGGCAGCAGUGGGGAAUAUUGCACAAUGGGCGACAGCCUGAUGCAGCGACGCCGCGUGAGGGAUGGAGGCCUUCGGGUUGUAAACCUCUUUCGCUCAUGGUCAAGCCGCAGCUUUGGGUUGUGGUGAGGGUAGUGGGUAAAGAAGCGCCGGCUAACUACGUG